CGAGGUGGGAUCCUGAAGCCUCUCCAGUCCGCCAAGGACGCACCACAGGCCUGUCUCACCCACCGCGCUGGG
This 72-nucleotide microRNA precursor is filed under the name Sorex araneus (European shrew). RNAcentral describes it as "miRNA (ENSSARG00000019145.1)". The record is from RNAcentral. Lineage: Eukaryota; Metazoa; Chordata; Mammalia; Eulipotyphla; Soricidae.